This 552-nucleotide ribosomal RNA is filed under the name uncultured Alphaproteobacteria bacterium. RNAcentral's name for it is "bacterial SSU rRNA". It matches the Rfam family "Bacterial small subunit ribosomal RNA", at positions 860 to 1412 of the family's 1533-position model. The record is from RNAcentral. Lineage: Bacteria; Pseudomonadati; Pseudomonadota; Alphaproteobacteria.
UUAAGCAUCCCGCCUGGGGAGUACGUUCGCAAGAUUAUAACUCAAAGGAAUUGACGGGGUCCCGCACAAGCGGUGGAGCAUGUGGUCUAAUUCGAAGCAACGCGCAGAACCUUACCAGCUUUUGACAUGUCCUGGACGGAUGGCAGAGAUGCUUUCUUCUCUUCGGAGCCAGGAACACAGGUGCUGCAUGGCUGUCGUCAGCUCGUGUCGUGAGAUGUUGGGUUAAGUCCCGCAACGAGCGCAACCCCCGCCUUUAGUUGCCAUCAUUCAGUUGGGCACUCUAGAGGGGCUGCCGGUGAUAAGCCGGAGGAAGGUGGGGAUGACGUCAAGUCCUCAUGGCCCUUACAGGCUGGGCUACACACGUGCUACAAUGGCGGUGACAAUGGGAUGCGAAGGGGCGACCCGGAGCAGAUCUCCAAAAGCCGUCUCAGUUCGGAUUGUACUCUGCAACUCGAGUGCAUGAAGGUGGAAUCGCUAGUAAUCGUAGAUCAGAACGCUACGGUGAAUACGUUCCCGGGCCUUGUACACACCGCCCGUCACACCAUGGGAGUU